Molecule: transfer RNA, 72 nt
Filed under: Lepidoblepharon ophthalmolepis
Lineage: Eukaryota; Metazoa; Chordata; Actinopteri; Pleuronectiformes; Citharidae
Description: tRNA-Leu
Rfam family: tRNA
About the family: Transfer RNA (tRNA) molecules are approximately 80 nucleotides in length.
Source: RNAcentral
GCUUCUAAAGGAUAACAGACAUCCAUUGGUCUUAGGAACCAAAAACUCUUGGUGCAAGUCCAAGUAGUAGCU